This is a long non-coding RNA of Anolis carolinensis (green anole), 4308 nucleotides long. RefSeq annotates it as zinc finger protein 709. NCBI's taxonomy places the organism in Eukaryota, Metazoa, Chordata, Lepidosauria, Squamata, Anolidae. The record is from RefSeq and is a predicted model, not a curated record. The transcript has 4 exons.
CUGGGCGUUGGGAAGAAAAGAAAGGAGGAGCGUCUCUCUCUGUCUGUGUCGGGCUCCGUUCAACGGCCGCGAAGCCCCGCCCCUCUAUGGGCAUCCUGCCCGCGGCUGCCAUGUUAGGUCCGGGCGGAAGUCCACCGAGGAAGGGAGGCCUCUUCCUAGAGGGGCUCAGGACGAGAGGUCACUUCCGGAGGAGGAGGGACAGAGGAGGCCUUUCGGAGAGAGAGCGGGAGAGAGGAAGGAGGCGGAGGAGGAGGAGGAAGGGCAUUUAUACCUCGCCCUUCUCGCCCUGAAGGGGACUCAAAGCAGCUUUACAGAACACACACACAUGGCAAACACUCAGUGCCUGAUUAUACAAUCAACAAGGACAGACAACACAGACAGAGACCCAUAACCCGGACGCUUCCCUGAGCAGAGGAGAGAGGCCCCAGGGAGGGAGUGGCGGAGGCCCUGCAGAAGAAGCUCCAGGCCGGAGCGGAGGAGGAGGAGGAGGACCAGCAGGUGCAGGAAGGUAACUUCUGAAAAAGUUCUUCGAAGAACACGGCGUGAGAGCUUUGCCCGAGGAGUGCUCUAAGUCUAAAGUGACUUCAAGAUACACAGCAAUGACAACAAGAAAAAAUAAUUAGUAGAAAAAUAUAUUUCAAGUUACAAACCUAUGCAGUUAACAGGAAGAAAUAAGAUUGUGCUGAAAAAAGAGAGGCUUGGAAAAGCGAGCAGAAGGCUACAGCAAUACAAAGAUUGUGCUAUUCAGGAGGUUAUGUCUGUGAACCCCUGGCGUAAUAUUUGAAUUAUAAAUAUAAAAGAAUGGCAAGUCCUCUACCUCCCUAUCCUAGAUCACAAACACAGGAGAAGUUACAUCAGUGUGUGGAAUGUGGAAAACAAUUUGAUAGGAAAGGUUCUCUUACUAGACAUGAACGGACCCACACAGGGGAGAAGCCAUAUAAAUGCAUGGAAUGUGGGAAGAGCUUCAGUCACAGUGAUAAACUACGUUCCCAUCAAAGGACCCACACGGGGGAGAAGCCCUAUAAAUGCAUGGAAUGUGGAAAGAGCUUCAGUCAGAGUAGCAGUCUGCGUAUCCAUCAAGGGGCCCACACAGGGGUGAAACCAUAUAAAUGCAUGGAAUGUGGAGAAUACUUCAGUCACAGUACCCGUCUGCUUAUCCAUCAAAGGAAGCACACAGGGGAGAAGCCCUUUAAAUGCAUGGAAUGUGGAGAAAGCUUCAGUCACAGUACCAAUCUACGUUCUCAUCAAAGGACUCACACAGGGGAGAAGCCUUAUAAAUGCAUAGAAUGUGGAGAAAGCUUCUGUUGGAGUGGCAGCCUACGUUCCCAUCAAAGGAAGCACACAGGGGAGAAGCCAUAUAAAUGCAUGGAAUGUGGAGAAAGCUUCCAUUGGAGUGUCAGCCUACGUUCCCAUCAAAGGAAGCACACAGGGGAGAAGCCUUACAAAUGCAUGGAAUGUGAGAAGAGCUUCAGUCGCAGGGACAGCCUACGUUCCCAUCAAAGGACCCACACAGGGGAGAAGACACAUAAAUGCUUAGAAUGUGGAGAAAGCUUCAGUCGCAGUGGCAGUCUACGUUCCCAUCAAAGGAAGCACACAGGGGAGAAGCCACAUAAAUGCAUGGAAUGUGGGAAGAGCUUCAGUCAGAGUGGCAAUCUACGUUCCCAUCAAAGGACCCACACAGGGGAGAAGCCAUAUAAAUGCAUGGAAUGUGGGAAGAGCUUCAGUCACAGUGAUAAACUACGUUCCCAUCGAAGGACCCACACGGGGGAGAAGCCAUAUAAAUGCAUGGAAUGUGGGAAGAGCUUCAGUCACAGUGAUAAACUACGUUCCCAUCAAAGGACCCACACGGGGGAGAAGCCCUAUAAAUGCUUGGAAUGUGGGAAGAGCUUCAGUCAGAGUGGCAGUCUACGUUUACAUCAAAGGACCCACACAGGGGAGAAGCCACAUAAAUGCUUGGAAUGUGGGAAGAGCUUCAGUCGGAGUGGCAGUCUACGUUUACAUCAAAGGACCCACACAGGGGAGAAGCCACAUAAAUGCUUGGAAUGUGGGAAGAGCUUCAGUCGGAGUGACAUAUUACGUUCCCAUCAAAGGACCCACACAGGGGAGAAGCCAUAUAAAUGCAUGGAAUGUGGGAAGAGCUUCAGUCACAGUGAUAAACUACGGUCCCAUCAAAGGACCCACACGGGGGAGAAGCCCUAUAAAUGCAUGGAAUGUGGAGAAAGCUUCUUUCAGCGAAGCAGGCUAUGUUCCCAUAAAAUGACCCACAUGGGGGAGAAGCCUUAUAAAUGCAUGGAAUGUGGAGAAAGCUUCCGUCGGAGUGACAGUCUACAUUCCCAUCAAAAGACUCACAGGGGAGAAGCCAUAUGAAUGCAUGGAGUGUGGAGAAGGCUUCAGUCAGAGUGACCAUCUGCAUUUCCAUCAAAGGACCCACACAAGGGAGAAGCCAUACAAAUGUACCCAAUGUGAAAAGUGCUUUAGAGAAAGUUCAGCAUACAGUAGACAUCACAGAACUCAUGUUCCUCUAGAGGAGACGGGCCUUUGAGUUUCCGAGCUCUCUCUAAAAAAGCAUUGCAAGGAAAGAGGAAGGCCAGCACCUUGCUCUCUCUCCCCCAGAACUGCAGUUUGUGUGGCCUUGGCUGACGACUACUGGGAGCAGGUGUCACUCAGAGGGGCUCUUUUCUCAGCAUUGCAGCAAGCUUGGAAGGGGUUCACCUAACCUCCUCCCCAAGGAGACCCAUCGCAGGCUUCUAGGAUGAUCUGUGAAUGUUUGCUGAAAUGAGCAGCAGCUGAGAUCUCGGGAUAAAAGGUUCUGAAAAAGAAUAGCUCUUUGGUUGCAGAUAACGUCAUAUCUUCAUACUCCUGUCUCAUGUCUUGGCUCUGCUUCAUUCAACGGCAUUGAAUGUUUGCUGUGCAUGUGUAUUGUGUGGACUGUGAUCCGCCCUGAGCCCCUUUGGAGAGAUAGAGCGGAAUAUGAAUAAAGUGUUGUUAUUAUUAUUAUUAUUAUUUUGGGCUCUAGCUCUGUACCUGUAACCCUUUUCUGGACUUUGUUGUAUACUGAAUAUUUGACUCUAAAUUCUGGACUGACGUUCUGGUUUCGUUUAUGGACUGGACUUUGUUUGUAUCCCUGACUUGCUGGCUUGAUUUUGGGACUCUAAAUUCGGUUUGUACUCUUGAUAUUUGAUGAACUCUGCGUAAUGAACUCUUGGCAUAUGACCAUUGGUCUGUAACCUUGGGUCUUGUUUAUUUUUGCUCCUGACCUGGAUCUACAGUACUCGACGUGUCUGCAUUAACUGGACUCUUGACCUGCACUUGUGUUCAUUGUUCCUUCGACUGUGUGGCUCCAAUUGCAUUAUUUUUAGCCCAGUGGUUUCCAACUAGGGAUCACUUGACCAGGGACCACUCUCCAAAAUUAAUACCAAAAGGGUUACAACUCAGUUUUUGGUCAACUUUAGAUUCGGUUUGGUUAUUUGGGGUGCUGAUUCAGAAAAUGGCAUUGGACAGACCACAUCAGCUCUAGUUCCUGAUACAGAACACAUGCCACCCAGUAGUCGCCAUCUGCUCGCCCACAGAAAACCAUAUUCAAUAAACCUCGGCACUAUAAGAGGGUUUUGCGAGACUACUCGCUCUCAUUGCAAUGGUGUAGUAAUGGUGAGGCCAUGGACCCUAUUUAAGCUCUUCCGGACCAUUGGUGGCCCACGGACCACAGGUUGGCAACCACUGUUUUAGCCGGACCAAAGACUUCAGUCUUCCUGUAAGUUAAUAUGGUCUUGGCUUAUCUUUGUUUAAUAAACCUCAGAGUUUAUACUAGGAGAGCCCUGGAACACGAGACCAUCACUCUACAUGUGCAUUUAUCGUUGCUUACAGUGAAUCAUUUUUGGUAUUUGGGACUGUUUAAUCCCCACCUUUGGCAAAGGGUCCAUUAGGAUACACAACAUAUCUCCCUAACAGCAGGGAAUGGAAGGCAAAGAAUGAUGACAACGACUGAUGUACAUUCAUGAAUCAGUUCAGAUGGACACAUUAACUAAAUUGAUGAAGUAUAGAGUAUAGAACAGUAUUGAAAGGAAAUCGAGUAAACAGAUAAUCAUAUAGUGAGUGAGAGGUUUCUAGACUAUGGUUUGGGGUCCAUUAAUUUUGUUCUUAUUGUGCAAGGUGUGUGUCCUUGUUCCCUUUAUAUUUGUUAAGUAGUCAUUAAAAAAAAAGGUACCAAAGUUAUAAUUUGUGUAAAAAAAUAAAAUGCCAAAAUUGUAAUUUGUGUAAACAGGCUUUGAUUUGUUUUUCUUUUUCUGUGUUUGAAUAAAAUGUUUUUUU